AGAGUUUGAUCCUGGCUCAGGAUGAACGUUGGCGGCGUGCCUAAUACAUGCAAGUCGAACGGAGAUUGUAGCAAUACGGUCUCAGUGGCGAACGGGUGAGUAACGCGUUGGUGACCUGCCCCGAAGUGUGGAAUAACAGAUCGAAAGAGCUGCUAAUACCGCAUAAUAUCCAGGAGAUUAGAUGCUUCUGGAUUAAAGGAUUUAUCCGCUUCGGGAGGGGCCUGCGUCCCAUCAGCUAGUUGGUAAGGUAAAGGCUUACCAAGGCGAUGACGGGUAGGGGACCUGAGAGGGUGGCCCCCCACAAUGGAACUGAAACACGGUCCAUACACCUACGGGUGGCAGCAGUAGGGAAUAUUAGUAAUGGGCGAAAGCCUGAACUAGCAACGCCGCGUGUGCGAAGAAGGCCUUCGGGUUGUAAAGCACUUUUUGAGAGGAUGAGGAAGGACGGUACUCUCAGAAUAAGUCUCGGCUAACUACGUGCCAGCAGCCGCGGUAACACGUAGGAGGCGAACGUUAUCCGGAUUUACUGGGCGUAAAGCGCGUGUAGGUGGUUUGGUAAGUAGGGCGUGAAAGCUCCUGGCUCAACUGGGAGAGGCCGUUCUAAACUGCCGAACUAGAGGAUGGUAGAGGGAGGUGGAAUUCCGGGUGUAGCGGUGGAAUGCGCAGAUAUCCGGAGGAACACCAGUGGCGAAAGCGGCCUCCUGGACCAUUCCUGACACUCAGACGCGAAAGCUAGGGUAGCAAACGGGAUUAGAGACCCCGGUAGUCCUAGCCCUAAACGAUGUAGACUAGGCGUCGGUGGUUUAAACGCCAUCGGUGUCCAAGCUAACGCGAUAAGUCUACCGCCUGGGGACUACGGCCGCAAGGUUAAAACUCAAAGGAAUUGACGG
This 890-nucleotide ribosomal RNA is filed under the name uncultured bacterium. RNAcentral's name for it is "bacterial SSU rRNA". It matches the Rfam family "Bacterial small subunit ribosomal RNA", at positions 8 to 916 of the family's 1533-position model. The record is from RNAcentral.